This 84-nucleotide transfer RNA is filed under the name Actinomycetota bacterium. RNAcentral describes it as "tRNA-Leu". It matches the Rfam family "tRNA". From Rfam's summary of the family: Transfer RNA (tRNA) molecules are approximately 80 nucleotides in length. Their secondary structure includes four short double-helical elements and three loops (D, anti-codon, and T loops). Further hydrogen bonds mediate the characteristic L-shaped molecular structure. tRNAs have two regions of fundamental functional importance: the anti-codon, which is responsible for specific mRNA codon recognition, and the 3' end, to which the tRNAs corresponding amino acid is attached (by aminoacyl-tRNA synthetases). tRNAs cope with the degeneracy of the genetic code in two manners: having more than one tRNA (with a specific anti-codon) for a particular amino acid; and 'wobble' base-pairing, i.e. permitting non-standard base-pairing at the 3rd anti-codon position. The record is from RNAcentral. Lineage: Bacteria; Bacillati; Actinomycetota.
GCCGGGAUGGCGGAAUUGGCUUACGCGAUGGUCUCAAACACCAUUGGGCUUCGGCCCGUGCGGGUUCGAGUCCCGCUCCCGGCA